RNAcentral lists this ribosomal RNA (497 nucleotides) under uncultured bacterium. Its description in RNAcentral is "partial 16S ribosomal RNA". It matches the Rfam family "Bacterial small subunit ribosomal RNA", at positions 28 to 507 of the family's 1533-position model. The record is from RNAcentral.
GAUGAACGCUGGCGGCGUGCCUAAUACAUGCAAGUCGAGCGAACAGAUGAGGAGCUUGCUCCUCUGACGUUAGCGCCGGACGGGUGAGUAACACGUGGAUACCCUCCCUAUCAUUCUGGGAUAACUUCGGGAAACCGGAGCUUAUCCCGGAUAAUAUAUUGCACCGCAUGGUUCAAUGGUGAAAUACGGUUUUUGUGUCACUUAUAGAUGGAUCCGCGCCGCAUGAGCUAGUUGGUAAGGUAACGGCGUACCAAGGCAACGAUGCGUAGCCGACCUGAGAGGGGGAUCGGCCACACUGGAACGGAGACAGGGUCCAGACGCCUACGGGAGGGCGCAGUAGGGAAUCGGCCGCAAUAGGGGAAAGCAUGACGGAGCAACGCCGCGUGAGGUAUGACGAUCGCCGGAUCGUAAAACUCGGUUAUUAGGGAAGAACAAAUGUGGAAGUAACUAGGCACGGCUUGACGGUACCUAAUCAGAAAGCCACGGCUAACUACGUG